CUGAGUCCAAAGUAAAAGGAGAGGGGAAAACCUGUUGGUGAGAGUGCUGUUGCAGUCUGGUCGAGAGUGGUGAUUGCAGUCUGGUAGAGGGUGGUGGUUGCAGUCCAGUCGAGAGUGGUGGUCUGCAGUUUGGUUGAGAGCGGUGAUCUGCAGUCUUCCUCUGGAUCCCACGAGUGGUUCCAAAAGUCCCAAGACUCCAAGAUUAUACAUUCUCCAGUUCAGGCAGGAAUGCUCAGUACUUCCCUCAGGGUGGGGGGUUCCUCAAUGGGUGUGAGGACAAAAACACCCUUCUAUCUUGCAGGCCUCUUAGCACCUAAUUUGUAGCCUGAUGAGUCAGGCUGCUCUGGGCAGAGGGUGCAAAUAGUCUAUUGACAACAGUUUCUGGGAAAUGGCAUGGAAGGCUAUAGAAUACACAGUUUUGGGUUACACCCAUCCAGUGAUGAACUGGGCCCAGCUGUUCUAACUAGGACAUAGGGGUAUGGGAUGGGUCAAGAGGUGGGGCACAGGCUGGCACUGGAAGCCGCAUGGCUAUAAACCACUCAGCAACAGCCAGUGAAGGAAUGUGGCUGGACAAGUGCUCUGAACCUGGACAAAACCAGUUACUUUAGGUAACAAAGAGAAGAAGGAACAAGUAUCUAGUUUAUGUAAAAUGCACCAUACAUAAUGCAUUUGGAUGUAACCGGAGUUGCAGACCAAUGAAAAAUGAGCAAGGUAUAAAAACAGACCUAUAAAAUAGACCCCAAAAGGAGCAAGAAGAGGAAACCAUCAACAUCAACAUCAUAUUUUUCUGGUGAUCGACUCCACAUGCUAACAACACACCAUCCCCUCCCAUCAGAUAGAAACUACCACCAUCAAGAGACAGAAGACCUGUGGAAGGGUGAGCAUAGAAGCAGGAAACUAGUGGAAAAUGAAAAGUUUUAAAAUGCAUUCUUACUACUAUGGAGGGCUUUUUUAAUGUACAGAAGUAUUCUUCCUAUGUUAUAGUCAAAUCUGGAGUGUUAUUCUUGGAUUACACUGUUAAGAUUUCGAUUAUACUAGCAACAAAUUCUUGGGUUUAUAUAUGUAUAAAUAUAUAUACAUGUGCGCACAUUUCCGCUGAGCCUAUAAACAAGAACUUGGAUAUAAUAUUUAAUUUCAACUUCCUGCAGAUGGAAGAUUAUUCUGGAAUUUAAAUUUAGUCCUUUUGAUACAGACUAACUAAUGCAUUCAGCCCACAGGAAAAUCCAAAGAGGUAUUACAUCACUAAAAGAAGAGAACUGGAGACUUGAAAAAAUUUAAAAGAAGGGAAGGACCUAUUCUGGAAGAAACACCAUCACAUUACGGUACUGAAGCAAUAAAUCCUGUGCUCUGUCAACACACAAGGGGCGAAAGGGCUAAAAGGAGAUUGGAGUUUCCAGAAAUCUAUGUUAUACAGGAUUUGAACUCCUCUGCUCUUACCGCUUUGGUAUGGGACCAGUACCCCGUCGUGGACAAAGAUUCAUUGGUAGUUCAAUUUUAUUAACUAGUCCCCAGAGAGAAUUUAAGGGUUUGGGUUAAAAGGCAGGGAGGAAUCUACACUCAUUUCACCCACUGUGAGCUUGGGUAAGUCCCUUAAUUGCUCUAUGCCUCAAUUCUCUUUCUUUAAACAAAGGCAAAGUCACCAGGAUAAGUUCUAAAGGUGCUCUGCUGGUGAAAAGGUAGUGGUCAUCCAGACAAUACUAGCAGUGUAUUAGCAUCAGGACAAGGAAAAUAACAUUGUUUGAUCUGAAGUCUUCUUUCAGGAGACUUCUAGGAGGAAGAACAUUGGUCCACAAAAAGUGCUAUCUGAUAUUUUCUCAGCAUCUUCGCUGCAGAUUCCAAACUUUCUUGUUGUUCUUUCUGUAAUGAACUCUGGGAGCCUGGAAGAUGCACAUGCAUGUCUUCACACUCACACACACACACACACAGGGUUUUUUUUUCUAAAAUGUCCACAUAGAAGAGACUGUGAGCAUCAGAGCUGUGCAGAAAAAUGGAAAAGACCCAGGGAUUUAUAUUUAAGAGCAGGAGAAGAAUAGGGGUGGUGGAAAUCACUCAAGAAUAUAUUAUAGAUAACAAUCCUGUGUUGACAGAGGGAUGAACUAGGUGACCUAAUAAAAACUGUUGUUACAGAUUUUUUCACUUCUGUCACGUAAUAGAGGACUUCAGUCUCCAGAGCUGUCAAUCCAACAGCUUUCACUGGCAGAAGUAUUCACUCAAAAAUAAUCUUGGUAAAAGGAGAAAACCUCAGUUAACUGCUUGCCUGGGGCAGAUGGAAUGCAGCUAGAAGGCUUGUUUGGCAAGUAAUUAUAAAUGCACUUUUGCUGCCCAGGUGCAGGAAGCAUAGUUUAAGCUUUUACUCAUUAACGUCAUUAAAAUUUCCAUUUCAGCUGUUGCUUUGGCAUUGACAGUGCAUGCAAAAUUGUGACCAGGUCAAGGCAAAAUUGGCAGCAAGGCUGAUGCUGGGGACCAUGAGUUCAAUUGCUUAAAAGAGGCAGAAAAACACCAAUAAAAAUGUAAAAUGACUCAAUUGUACCUCCAUGCACUUUAGAUAACAGGAAGGGUGGCCUUGAGGACAGAAAGAAAUAGAGGAAAAGAAGGUUCAAGAACAUAGGAAAUGCCACGUGGGAUCUGGCCAAUUAUCAGUUAGGUUGGUAUUUUGUCUUUGAUACUGAUGGGCGCUAGAAGUUACAAAGGAAGACUCACAGGAUCUCAUGCUGGACAAUUAAGGAUUGCUUAGGGAAAUAUCUUCCCUAGCACCCUCAUUAGUGGUUAGCUGACAUGCUAUUGUGAAGCUAUGAAGCUUUUAUAUUCAUCAUUCGUAUCUUAACUUCUUCUAUUGUAAAUCUGGAAAAUUUCAAUAUCCGCAAAUAUCUCUUUCUUAUUUGAAUCCUUCCACACCCUGCACCUCAGAGAUAUCUUGUAGCAGAGAUUUCCACAGGUGAAUGAGGAUGCCUGAGGAGAAGUAUUCCCUCUGAUGGAAUACUUUCCCUAUCGCUCAGUUUAAUGAGAUAUGCCUUUGGUGCUGGAGUGUGAAAGACAAGGUAAAUAGGAGCACUGAAUCUUCUUUGUUACAUAAUUUAUUCUAACUAUUUUGAAUGCCUAUUUUAUUCAUAUGAUUUCUAAAAUAAAUACACCUGCCAUUUAAUUUGCUUCCUACAUGGAAAUCAUGCUAUUCCUUGAAACAAUUGUGUUGACUAUUUCUAGACCCUUUUGAUUUCUGCUAUAAUUUUCUUUGAAUACAGAGCUGAACACAGCAUUACGGACAGAAUGCUCUUUCAUACUGAUUUCACACCAUUUUUAGUGAGAAACUCCACCCUAUUCCCUAUGCAUGCCUCAUCAGAUGGAGAGAACUGUUUGACCACAGAGGAGCACAGUGCUACAAAGAUGUAGGAUGCAGCCCAGGAGAACAUAAAGCCUCUCAAAUUUUGAACCUAGGACCACAUAUGGAUACUUCAAAUGAAUCCUUCCAACAUGCAUUUGUUACCAGGAAACUUAACACCCUUAUGUGGUUGAUUACUCACAUCUUCCUCUAAGUUUGACAAAAAAUAUUUAGCAUUUGCCAGUGUCUCCACCUUACUGACUGUUUACCACAUUGUCCAUAAUCUACAAUAACAGAUAUUUCUAGGAGCUAGAUGCAAUGCUGCUAGUAAUAUUUUUCCGUGUUGGAAAUGGCAGACUUGAUGCUAAAUUAUGUAUUUGUUUUUGCAGAUGCUUAGCCAGCUUGUCUGCUUGCCAUGGCAUGAUGUUCUCAUUAAUAGAGUACCUGAUUGCCUACUCUCUUGUUUGGAUCCUGUUGAGAACGCUUUGAAAAUCCAAGUGAAAACAGUGACUCCUUUCAAGGAACUGGCCACUCAAGGGGAACUAUGGACCAGAUUGACUCCAGAAACUUCAAACUGUAAGUGCAUUUGCAAAAAGAACAAUCUGCCAAUUAAUGGCUCGAAAGAAAGGACAAAUUAAUCGAAUGAAUGAUUGAUUAUGAACUACUCUCCCAGUCCUUCAAAUCUCCAAAUGCAGUUGCAAGUCCUUUCUAACCCAAUCUCCUCAUCAAAUCUUGUCCCUUUUAAAAAGCUGUUGUAUUAUUUUCCUACAUUAUUCAUGUACUGAAAUAAACGUGUUGGUUAUGGAGUUGUCCCAUCUCCCUUUCCUUCUGCUGAAAAUAUUAUUUAACUUAAAGGUGACAGUUACGUAAUUUAAUCCUUGCCUUUCAUUAUUAAUGAAUUUUAGCAUGAAAAAUGUAGGCAUUUUCCCUAUUCUGCCAUAUAGAACAGAAUUAUGUCAGAUGGAAUUUUUUUCUCCUUUUUUGGAAGAAAUAUUUAUUAGAAACUGUCCUCCAUAGUGCUGACAGAGGAAGUUUAAAUGGAUAAGUAGUUUGUGCCUCCUUAUUUUUAGCCUUCUUGUUGGCUAUUUUCAAUAACAGACCUUUCCAGUGCCUUAUGGCCUGUUGGCUUGAGUCCUUUCUGGGAUGAUGGAUCUCUGCCCCCGCAAGCAAUUCUGAUAAAAUCAACAAACACAGUAGUGAAGGUGAGCUUGGCUAAAUCCUGAGUUCUCUCAUGAGUUUUCUCACUUGAGACGAGGCUAUAGUUCCUGUUUUACAUGUCUGAAAUGGAGCAUGGAGAGAUAAUAUGCCCAUUCACAACAUGAUUACCAGUGACAGCAGCCUAGAGUUUCUCGUGACCAGUCCCCCCUCUUCUCAGGAGACCACCAUCAUUUUCACAGCUGCCAGCUCCCCCAGGACAUGGAGCUGCCCCCACAUUCCUGGUUCCCAAGUGCUGUCUCCAUCUUUCCUCCUGCUUUCUGGUGUGAUUAUAUUCACUUCUGUUUGCACACACAGAUGGAGCUCAAUGGAUCCCUAAUAGCAUCAUUUACUUAAUUAACAUGCAAUUAGCUUAAUGAAUAUUUUAACCUCAUUAUGUAGUUACUCAUCUUAUCUGUUGCGGGUAAGUCUAGUGCCCAGCUCUGGACUGUUAUAAAGACAAGACAAAUUAGUCCAGUUCUUCAAUUAUGUUCAAGAGGCCUCUGUAUAUGGUUCUUUCUCCUUCCCUUUACAUGCCACAUCUAUGAUGGAAGGACUGGUGUUUAAGGAAGCAGAACAUGUCUUUUUCUUCAUCUUCCCGUGAAAAACUAGACAUUUCUUUAGAGAUGAGACAUAAGCAGAGGGUGGUGAUAUUAAAUUCUUGUAGGCGGCUACGUGUUGUUUCUGCUGACUUGGUCAGGAUGAAAGCACUAUCUAUGAGACAGGCUUUCCUGGCAGAGACAUCUCCUAGCUGUGGGGCUUUCAUAUUUUCAGCCUGCUGUAUGCUGUGGUGGUGUGGUGCACACUUGACAGUGGGACAAAUGCCCUUUUCCAUCAUGUUCUUCACACUCAGGAUUUGUACUUCAGCAGAAGCAUUACCUGCGCCUUGCAAUCAUGGGAUAGGUGUUCAUCAAGCCACUGACCAGCAUGUGGAAAACCAUCCUGAGGUUGUCAAAGGAACAACAAUUCUUUGAGCUCAGAUGAAGGAGGAGAAGUACUGUAGCAGGAAUGGAACAAGGAAGGGUGUCUGCUCUUUCCCUCAAGUGAUCCUCUUGGAUCACCCUCUUCUUCCAGGCAGGUAUCUUAGCAAAGUUUGGCAGGAGCCUGCCAUGAUGUGAACUUCCCAUCACUUCCUUCUCCAGGCAAUUAGUUUGUAAAUGCAGCUAGGGGCUGGGGGAAGAAAGUUUGCUUGAGGUAAGAGUGACCUCUUGAGCUGACUGAAAAGUAAUAUGAAAGAGAGACUUGCUCAGUCUUAUUAGAUGGGCAGAUAUCCUAACAGAUCACGUCUUCACUCUCUAACUGGGACACGUGUGUGAGGGAAAAUCUUGCUCCCACCAUCCUCUGGGAAAAAAACAAAACACAUUUCUGUGCUGACUUGUUUACUACUGGCAUCUCAGCAGCCCCCUCACUGACUCUUCCUUCUUGUUAUGACCUGGGGAAGGUAGUCAUGGAGGAAAGCAGGCUGAGAAGUCAUUUAGUCUCACUGGGAAUCCACACAAAAAGAGAGGAAUGGACUUCAAAUAUCUUAACAAAAAGAAAAUAUCUCUGGUAAAAUGCCAUUGGAAAGUUAAGAAAGCAGUGAGUACUAUUUCCUUUAGGCUAUCCUUUUUGUUGUUUUGAGUCAGCAAGGUUAACCAGAGAAAUAGAGCAGAAAGUUUAGAUAACUGGGAACAGCUACAGUUGGGUUUUCAAAGCCUUCCCACAAACUUCAAAGGAAAACAACAAGCCCUAUUUGCACAAUGCGUAGUCCUGCCUUCUUAACCUAAAACUGGCUGUGUAGAGAGGGAGAGAAGUGAAAUACUAAGGGGGUGUUGGCAAAGAAUAAGCACAGAAAUAAUGAGGGAUGUCAAUGACAGGAAAGCUGUGCUCCCUGCUCCGCAAAGCCAAGGUUCCUAUCCAGCAGGGCUGUCACGUGUCCUUCUUGGGUCUGCAUUUUUCUGACAGGGUCCACCUCCCUACCAAGACAGGCCCAGAGCUCUUGGUCAGCUAUUUCUGUCUCUGAUUCGGCAUGUCAUGUUCAAAUUCUGUCGAGGUAUCACCCAGCUCCUCUCCUCACAAAGGAGCAACCGUGUUCAACGAGGUAAUGAGCUGAGAAGAUUUGUGGGUGUGCAUAUUGCAGCAGGGUCAGCCCAUGCAAUCCAUGUAAAGAGCACUAAGUCUGCAUUAUUUGUCUUAAUCUAUCACUCUUACAGAAGCAGCUGUUACUGGGCCUGAAUACUUUAUCAACAGGACAAACACAGCUAGAACAGCCAUCCAUUCCAAAGCCAAGUGGACAGACUUGUAUUGCUCAGUGCUGUGACUGCUGAAGCCUGAAAAUCAGGUUAAAAUUCAUUUGUCCUCAUCCUUUGGCUUGAUUGAAGCAGCCUUGUGUUGCAGAGUUAGUUUAGUCCCCAUUUCAUCCUGUAGCUACCAUGAGUAGUUCCCUGUUCUUCCCCAGGACUAGGAGGGCCCUGUGUCCUUACUCCAGAUGACAGAAAAGUAUCUUUUCAGAGACAGAGGAGGUAACUGAUAAGAUCAAUGUGUUGCAGAACUUGAAAACCAUGAUCUCUGGUUGUCAUUGAUUUCUGCAUGGGGCUUCCCAAAAAGUUUCUAGUAACGUGGUGUAACUGAGCCAAAUUCUCAGCCAGGGUAAGCCAAAGUCAAACUGUCAAGUCACUGACUGCAGUGGACUUGAUACACUUCAGUUCCAGGUAAAUCUUUUUGCCUUGCAACACAAGGCAAGACACCCUACUAUGUUCAGGAAAAGGACUAAGCAUGUUGCUGCUGCUGGAGACAAGGCUGUAUCCAGCUGCCAAUAUUUGUGCAUGUGCCAGGGGGAGCAAAUGCCUCCUCUCCUCUAGGUCAAGAGGAUAAAGACUUUCAUUUUGGGUGUGAAGACCCCACCAUGUAAACUUUUUCAUGAUCCAUGUGACUUCAGAGCCAUUUAGGUGCUGGAACCCUUUGUGUGUGUAGCACAAAUGUAAAUCUGACCCAAAAGACUAACUGUUCCUUUUAAGAUGAUUUUUGGUUGUCUUUGUAGAAAGUUCACAGGGAUUCCACAUUCACAGCUCUGCUCUACAUCAGCUGGCAGGCUCAGAAGAGGCCAAAGGCUGGCACCCUCACUGCUGGCCCUGGCUGGGGAAUAAUGGCAGAGCCCUGUGUAAGAAGCCGUUCUUCUCCUAACCCCUUGAUAUAGAGAUGAUGAGAGGACUUUUUUCACCAGGGCUGUCAAUCCAACACUUUUCAGCAGCAGGAAUACUGUUUAGAAUAAAACAAUAGACCCAAAGUUGAUAAUCAGAUGUAAAUUAUGUACCAGUAUGCAGAAGGCGAAGAUAAGAUUUGCAUAAAAUGUUUGUAUGACAGUAGCUAAGUAUCCCUAAUUUUUUCCCAGAAGGUAUCGAAGCACAGAAAACAAUAAUUUCUUACCCAGCUCAUCUCCCCUCCUCUACCACAGCCCUCAGCCUGCAGUUCUGUAUUUGAGGGCAGACCAGUUCACCAGAGAGGUACCUCUUCCCCUUCCACAUGCUGGAGUGAGCAGCCUGCUGCAGGGAGGCUCAGGUCAGGCUUGGUGGCAGAGACAGCACUGUUGGUUUCCUUCCUCAGGAAUCUCUUUUCCAGGAGGGGAAGCCAUUAGCUAAGAAGGUGAAAUGAUUUGCUACUGCCCUUUUGUAUUUACAGAGCUUGUUCAACAACUGCUCUCUGUGGAGCCUAAAAUAGUCUUUUGAGGAUGGGAAAUGUCUCACCAGCUUCAAUCCAACAGCUAAGUCUUCUGCAAAAAAAGCAAUCCAGGGUGCCAGUUCUGGCAUAGCUCCUCCUCUGCAAGCAGGCAAGAGUUUCUCACAUGGUGGGGUACACUGGAUAUGUGCUUUGGCCAGUCUCCAGCUCAAAACACAGCUCUCCUGCUUCCACUGUCUUGUCGGAGUUUGGACCAGUGUUGGUCAGGGGUUGGGGUGUCUCCCAGAGCCAGUGGGGACUAUUCACCAGUGCUAAUGUGUAACCUAUAGGUUUAAGUGACUUAGCCAAAUACUGAUGCUUUGCAAUGUGGCUGCUGCACAUCGUUUGGUUUGCAGGUGGAGACCGCAGGUCUUCCCAAUGAGUGUAAGCAAAGUGGCUUCAAUGUUAGUGUCCUCGAUGCCUGCUUCUUGUGUUAGCUCAGGACUUAAGGUGCACCACUCGAAGGAUGCCAAUAGCACCCUUGCUUGAAGACUGUAGAGAUCCCUCCUGCAUGAUGUCAUCCAGCCACACUGUGCUCAUCAGGGCUGGCCACGUUUCAGACACUGAGAAAGACAGAGUGCAAGGAGAAAGGGUGCUCUUAGGAUGUAGGGGCUGCACGACUCAUUUCAAACCCUGAAGCAGUGUCACAAAAUGAAAGAGAGAAACCGGGGUUCCCCAGAGACGCCUGUACACACAUACACAGGUCUGACUCAUCUCUGGCUGCCCAGGGGCCCUUCUGUCACAUGGAAAAAAGCUGAGCUGUGUCAGUUGCAGCAGCGGCUGCAGCAGCAGCAGUGCCCUGCUCUUGUAAUUCACUGCCAUCUGCUUCUCUCAGUCAGAAUCUAUAGCUAUUUUCACCCCACCAGACGGUUUAAAACAUGCUCUGAUUUUUGUCUUCCAUGCAGUAUAUUAUUUACGAUAGUUCUGGACCAAUCUCAGCUGCAGUUCACCAAGGGAAUUAUUAGAGUAGUCCCACCUUUCUCCAACUCCAGCUCCAUGUAUAAGCUAUUUUCUUCCAACAGUUAUUGAUAUGUGUAAACAUGGCCUCUCUCUUCCUCUGCCUCUCUUUUUUUCUCUAUCUCUCUCUCUCCAACUGCAUGUGCGCAUAUAUGUGAACCAGGGCAAGAAACAAAAAAGAUGAUGCUUGUAAGAGAUUAGUUUGCAUGACACAGCUGGACAGCUUUCUUAGAGAAGGCUAGAUACUGGGAAUUUCCCCUUCAUCAGUGAUUGAUUGUCUCUGUGUCUUGGGGGAUUAGAAUUCUGCAUUUUGUGUCACUCUUGGCAAGUCUAAAAGUAACAAAAAUGCACCUGUGACAUGAAAUCAGGCCUAAGAAAACUUAUCAUUUCCUUCCUUGGCUUCAUAAAUGUGCCUAUUUCACUUGUAUUGCUGGUUACUUCAUUUAAGACAUACAGGGAUUGUGGCCUUUUUCAUCACAAAGCACUUGAUAAAGUACUUUAGAGAAGUAAGUACAGUGUUUGCCCAGGAUGGACAGAGGAACAUGGAUUAACUCCUGCAGUUUGUGCCCAAGACCACAAACCUUCCAUUAACCAAUAUUGUCUUCCAACAACUCUGAUGACAAUGUUUUUGUAUUCUUUCUGCCAUACAAAAUAUUUUUAGGUUGGUAUUAACCUGUCUGUGCUUAUGUGGGUGGAUGCAUAUGUGUGUGUAUAUUAUUACCCUUGGUAUUAACAAUUGCAAAAUGUACCUGCUCGAUUCACUUUAUAAACAGCAGAAAGUACAGAACAUCAGCGAGCUCUGCGCUGAACACAGCAUAGGCUGUGUACAUAGGAGGAACAAGGAAUCACAGCUAUGAAGAAUGUGUAAUAAUGCAUUCAUGUUAUUGCUUUUAAAAUGUAACAAUGAGGUUACAAUCUGUUUCUCUUUAAAGGCCCAUUUCAGUUCCUCUACAAUUUUGCCUGCGAAAUGUGUUUGGCUUGAAAAAGACCAGGCUGGCUCUGAAAGUAAGGGAUAUUUGUGCAACAUCUGAAGGAGAGCUUAUCAAACAAUAAUGGAGCAGUAGUUUAUUAAAGAUUUAACCCCUUUGACAUUUUCAUUUUUGUUUACUGUUUGUUCACAUCCUACUAGCUCACGGAUAUACUGUUUAUUGUCCUUCAGAUUUUCCGUAUCAUUAAUUCUGGCUGGAGGCUCCAGCAACAGCUGCAUUUGAAAAUACUAGAUUAUAAUUGAAAGAAAUUAUUAAUGAUUUUGUUGAUGUCCUCUUACUUUCUUAUUGAUUUCACUAAAAACCAUCAGCUUGAUAGUAUUCCCAUGGAGCCUAAACGGGAAGAGGGCAUAUGUGUGAAUGUCAUGAUUCCCUGAAGUUUAUCUGUGUGUGCUAAGGGCACAGAAGCCCUCUCUUGCUUGGGGUAAGCCACCCCCGUUCCCAACACUCCCCUGGCACAGUGAGAUUGCAUCAUGUGUACUGGUUACAGUUUAAAGGGCAGAAGAAUUUAUACAGGAUGGCCCAAUUAUCUGCAUCCUUACAUUUAAGUGGGAGGCUACAUUUGCAGCUACAAUAUAAUGAUUCCAGGUUCAGCUUUGCAGAUGAGAGUUUCUCUACCUUACUACAGACAGGGCUGGUUUCAUGCACAGGCAAAGCUCUUGGCUGCCGAAUGUGGGAGCCUGCCAGGGUCAACCAGCAGCCUGAUUUGCCUGAGCUGGAAGAUGUGGGAUGGCUGUAGCUGCAGCAGGCAUGAGCCAACUGUCCAGCCUUUCUCCCACAAGCUGUGUGGUAUCAAGGCGAUAGAAAAGAAGAAACACAUCCAGGGAGGGACCCACUUUGCUGCUGCCACGCAGUUGAAUUCUGCCUGCCCAAGGGUGAAGUGAAAAUCCUUGGGCUGCAAAAUUAAAUUUUACCUACCCUGCUGAUAAGCCUUGAGCCAACUCUGGUUGUAGAGGUAUCUUCACCUUCUUCUAGUUUGACUACAAAGAGAGGCCUAUUGAAAGAUUGAUUUUGAUCCCUACUAAGAAAAAAAAAAUUAAAAAAGGAGAAAGACAACAAAAUUCCUCUUGCUUCAAGAUUUUAUAUUUAAGUCUUACUGACAAUACAAUAUUUUCUGAAAGUGUUACUUGAGGAGGAAUAUUUUGAAUCUAAAAUCCUUUACGGUACAUCCAUUGCAAUAUGUUUGCCACUUUUUUUGUCAGCCUCUCUGGGUCCAACAUAAACAUAUUAUCCUGCAAAAUCUUAAAUAAAGGUAGGUUAGACACUGCUUUCGCAAGAAGCAAUUUGGUAAAUCAGGGAUGAUAAAUGUAGAACUGUGGUUUGAAAAUGUGAUUCUCCAU
Pseudopipra pipra is the source of this 11486-nucleotide long non-coding RNA. RefSeq lists it as uncharacterized. The transcript has 3 exons. The record is from RefSeq and is a predicted model, not a curated record. Lineage: Eukaryota; Metazoa; Chordata; Aves; Passeriformes; Pipridae.